UUAGGAGCAGGAGAGGAAUGAUAGUGGGUCUGUCACAUUCCUCUUACUAAGGCAGGGAGUAAGGGUUACCACAGGGAUAGCCUCAGGUGUACGGGCAGCAGGCCUGGGAUGGAGCCCACAGAAGGCACAGGGGAGGAAGAGCCACAUGGAAAGGAACAUGGCCAGAAGAGAGAUAAAGUUUGCCACUGUAGGACUCAGCCUUGCUCAAGAAAUAGGCUGAUGAGAGGUACAAGCCAGAAGACGACUCACUUGGUCCUGCUGCUUUAUCUCUUGAGUCAGUAAGCUGCUGCUGUCAGUAACACUGAGUGUCUUUAUCUUUUGAGGUCCAUCCAUCCACAGCCUGUCUCCACCUGUUUCUGAGCUCAUCCAUAGCAGCAAAGAACACAGCUACCUCUUAAUCUCUGCUACGCUGUCAUGUCUAGACAUUGAUUUCAGCUGUGGGAAGUGAAUUGUUUCUCUGCUCCAGGGAAUGGACUUUCUACAAGCAACUGCUAAAGUAUGAAUGAUACAAGCAAUUCCUCCCAUCGCUCCUGUUCUACAAUUUAAAGCCAACAGUGCUUGUAUAAGAAGAGCUGUUUGACCCAACACAUUCAGGUCUAUAGGAAUGCAUAUUCUUAAAGAGGUCAGCACUUCAAAAACACUGGAAUUGCUGAAAUUUUCCUGAAUGAAAGUGCUUCCUGAAAUCUACAUCAAUUCAGUUGUGAAGAACUUAAUACGACCUUUUUUUCUGGGUUACCAGCUACAAAGCAGCAGGCAAAGCAACCCUCUAGCUCUCAUUCAGCUUGAGAGAUUGAAUACCACAUCUUGUUUUCCCAUGACUCAGAACCAGGAAGAGUUUGAGCUUUUCACUGUGCUCUUGCAAAGGAGUGACAAUUUUGUAUCGUUUUCCAGGCAUUUAUUUUCCUCAAGUUCUAUUAAAAACUCAGCUAUGUACAUGAAAUUUUUUCAUUAGAUGGACAACAUCAGAACUCUAUUUGGGUUAUAUCCCAAGUAUUUCAUUCUAAGUUUAGAAAUAAAAUCUGAAGAAUCGAUAUUUCAUUGCAAAUAUUCAUUCCUUACGUUUGAAAAGCAAAACUUAAAAGCUUCUGAUGUCAAACUGAAACAUUUGUUAUGGGACUACACUUUCCACAGCCAAAGGAUACGCUAAGAAAUUCUGACUCUAAGACCUCUGUUAUUUAAAAUUAUAUUAGACAAAUAAAAAAAUGCCCU
Pogoniulus pusillus (Red-fronted tinkerbird) is the source of this 1209-nucleotide long non-coding RNA. RefSeq lists it as uncharacterized. The record is from RefSeq and is a predicted model, not a curated record. Lineage: Eukaryota; Metazoa; Chordata; Aves; Piciformes; Lybiidae. The transcript has 4 exons.